This 238-nucleotide ribosomal RNA is filed under the name uncultured bacterium. Its description in RNAcentral is "partial 16S ribosomal RNA". It matches the Rfam family "Bacterial small subunit ribosomal RNA", at positions 119 to 353 of the family's 1533-position model. The record is from RNAcentral.
GGGUAACCUGCCUUAUAGUGGGGGAUAGCCUUUCGAAAGGAAGAUUAAUACCGCAUAAGAUUGUAGUAUCGCAUGAUAUAGCAAUUAAAGGAGCAAUCCGCUAUAAGAUGGACCCGCGUCGCAUUAGCUAGUUGGUGAGGUAAUGGCUCACCAAGGCGACGAUGCGUAGCCGACCUGAGAGGGUGAUCGGCCACAUUGGGACUGAGACACGGCCCAGACUCCUACGGGAGGCAGCAUG